GUUUCAUUGAAGAUGUCACUUCGCAUAGAUUUCUUUUUCUUUCCUGUUUAUAUGGCCUAUCCGUCUUGUCCUCUGCGCGUCGUAUAGAUUUCUGCCUUCCAAAGCACGUAUAUAUUUAAAUUAACAUUUCUAGCUUCACAUUGCAAUGCAACCUCGCUUACAAAUAACUGUAGGUAACUGUUAAACUAACCUGUCAGCGGAGAGCGCAUAAGUACAAGAAGUACAAGAUGGCAUCACGCGACGUCGUUUCCAGCGACGUCGCGUCAUACCAUCUGUCGGGAGGCAAAAUUUUAACUCCUCUUUUUCUAUCCUAAUGUUUUCUGCUGCCUUCUUCCUUUUCUCCAGCAUAGUUUAGGCAACUUUCGUCAUUUGAUAAAUUCUAUCUUCCACAGGAUUCGAUGCUGCGUCCUAUCGGUCCGUAGGCCACUGGAUCAUAUGGACUACGCCGAGCUUUCGUUCUACUGGGAACUGUUUGAGUCAUAGUUGGCUCGUCUGCGGGCCUGAUUCCAUAUCAAAAGUGCAUUUCUUGUUAUUACCUACUGCACAUGUCUAGCGUCUUUACCUCGAUUUAAAGUGACGCCAGUCGCGUUUCUAUCUGUCGCUCGUUGCACGCGCCAGCGCAGCGUCCGCGAAAUUUCGAACUAUAGCUAGUUAAACAACGUAUUCGUUCACACCAGGUUUAAACACAGCGCGGCGCUAAGCGAAAAAACGAUCGCGUAGGCGGUGAUUUUUUAUCCCGGGCAUCGGAGGUGCUCAAAUAUAUCCCGGUCGAAUCGGUCGGUUUGGGAUCCGAAGAAAAAUACUCUCACAAAUAGCCCGCUCGCACACGGAGAAGGAACCCCUGCCUUUUAACACCCGACAUGCCGUCGAAUUGGCCAGUUGGGGUCCGAAGGAACAGUCGGAAGGCCGCUCCCGAUAUUCCUGUGGGCCCGAAAAAAGGCCCCCUGGGCAACAACCCUCUCAAACAGAGAAGAAAGAAAGAAAAACACCCCAUUUCGGUUUUUAGGCUAGGUAUCGGCGUUUCCGUCCGCAACCAAUCCGUCAGUUUUGAUGCGACCGCUCAAGCAGCAAUGAAUAUAGUUCGCGAUAGAACAUGCCCUCCGCGGUCAAGUUACUUCGACUAUUACCAGAUAAACAUUCCACAUUAUUAGCGAUGGUAAAAAGUAAACUGUUAUUGGAUGAACGAAACAGAAAUUCGCUAUUCUAUUGGAUGAAUUAACUUUUGCAAUCCAUAAGCUCUCUAUCAUAUAAAGCAGACCAUCUUUAGUUGAAAAGAGUACCGAGCGUUUAAGAAUAAUAAAUUGAAAAUUACACGUCAUCCCAAAAGUAAUAUCAUUUUUAGCAUUAAGUUUUUGAAAGAAUAUGAACGAUCCAUUUGAAUCAAUAACAUUCUUCUAACGUUGUGAAAGUUUAUUUGUAUUUAUAAAGCUUUAAAAAUUUAUGUUUAGACAAGGUGGGACACGUUUGAACAAGUAUAGCAUAAAAAAACGACAUUACUUUUGGGAUAAA
Molecule: long non-coding RNA, 1509 nt
Filed under: Androctonus crassicauda
Lineage: Eukaryota; Metazoa; Arthropoda; Arachnida; Scorpiones; Buthidae
Source: RNAcentral